UUUAAUUCAACGUUGAAGAAAUUCAUAACCUGCGGCACUUUUGACAGCCGCCAUGUUUUCUCCAUAAAAACAUUGAUUUUCUUUGCUCAUUUUCGUGUCAACAUAGUUUUUUUGGAAAAUAAGAAGAAAGGAAGUUUAACUUACUUAGAGAAAUACGACUGAGACAUGUAAGUAUCAAUGUAUUAACCUAUUUUUUUUUAAAUAUAAAUGUUACCGGUUGUAGUCAAGAAGGUAUUGUAAUUUACGAUGUAUCCAAUUUCUGUUUUGAAUUGUUUUAGAAACACAAGCAGCAGCCGAUGUGCUUGAGUAGCAGAAGGGGCAACUGCGUUGUGAGAGGGCCACGGCUUCAGCCCUUACAAUGAUAGCUGAUUAGCUGAAGUAAUGAACAGACAGGCUGCAGUCAAUGAGAGGCUUCUUGAGGAGGUGUUCCUCAUAUGGAAAUGAUUUUAGCGGCGACGCAGUUGCACGACCAGUGAAGCUCUGGCUCCGCGACCGGCGUGGAGCGCGCGGUCAGCGCGGCGCUGCUGCGGCUGCUGCGCAGGAGGAUCCCGUCCCCGCGCAUGCGCCUGGCCUUCAAUGACCUCACGCCUCUCUUCUUCCUCUUCUUCAUGCGUCAAUUCAAACAGAGGAGCACCUGUGAUUACUGAUUACCUAAGUUCCUAUAUACAAUAAUAGUUUAAUAAUUGUUAACAAAAUAUUGUAUAUAUAAGUAUUAAUAAUUACUUAUACAAAAGGCUAAAAGCAUUUUGUACCAGCCAACCUAUAGGAGAGAAUAUGAGAAAAAUAAUAAGACUUUAAUCUUUGAUUGCCAUUAUCUGUAGCUUUAUUAAGUGGUAAAGGGACCUAAUUACUACCUAUAUUUUUUUAGUAUUUGUGAUAAUUCAUAGAAUUUAUUAGUUCUAUCAAUAAAUAAAAUAUACAUGCAUUACAAUGUGUUUAAUUCAUUAACUUACAAUUUGCACACUGAGGGAA
Plutella xylostella (diamondback moth) is the source of this 972-nucleotide long non-coding RNA. RefSeq lists it as uncharacterized. The record is from RefSeq and is a predicted model, not a curated record. NCBI's taxonomy places the organism in Eukaryota, Metazoa, Arthropoda, Insecta, Lepidoptera, Plutellidae.